CCACAUCAUGAAAGCCGCUUGUACCCGAAGUCGCUGUGCCAACUCGCGAAGAGAGGCAGGUGCCGAAGGUAUGGGGUGGUGAUUGGGAUG
Molecule: ribosomal RNA, 90 nt
Filed under: uncultured bacterium
Lineage: Bacteria
Description: partial 16S ribosomal RNA
Source: RNAcentral